RNAcentral lists this ribosomal RNA (253 nucleotides) under uncultured bacterium. RNAcentral's name for it is "partial 16S ribosomal RNA". It matches the Rfam family "Bacterial small subunit ribosomal RNA", at positions 524 to 776 of the family's 1533-position model. RNAcentral also lists the same sequence under 1 other name. The record is from RNAcentral.
UACAGAGGGUGCAAGCGUUAAUCGGAGUUACUGGGCGUAAAGGGCGCGUAGGCGGUUAUAUAAGUGAGUUGUGAAAGCCCUGGGCUUAACCUAGGAACUGCAACUUAUACUGUGUAGCUAGAGUAUUGUAGAGGGUAGUGGAAUUUCCGGUGUAGCGGUGAAAUGCGUAGAGAUCGGAAGGAACACCAGUGGCGAAGGCGGCUACCUGGACAAAUACUGACGCUGAGGCGCGAAAGCGUGGGGAUCAAACAGG